This 639-nucleotide unclassified non-coding RNA is filed under the name uncultured marine cyanobacterium. RNAcentral's name for it is "partial 16S-23S ribosomal RNA intergenic spacer". The stretch from base 201 to 273 matches the Rfam family "tRNA". Lineage: Bacteria; Bacillati; Cyanobacteriota. The record is from RNAcentral.
CAAAAUGUUUAAUAUUAUUAUUUUGUCACCUUAGGUCGAUCGGUAUCUCACGUUUUUAAUUUAUUAAGAAUUUCAUUUCCUAAGUUUUUCUAGGUCACACCCAUUAUUUUUCCUGGGCCAUUAGCUCAGGUGGUUAGAGCGCACCCCUGAUAAGGGUGAGGUCCCUGGUUCAAGUCCAGGAUGGCCCAUAUCUCUAUGUUGGGGGUAUAGCUCAGUUGGUAGAGCGCCUGCUUUGCAAGCAGGAUGUCAGCGGUUCGAGUCCGCUUACCUCCACUGAUCACCACCUCUUCCAUAAUUUGUAGCAGGGAAUGUUUUGAGUUGUGAUCAAAUUCUGAAAGAAUCUAGCUUCCUAAUGAAAGCAUUAAGAUGCUGGACUCAUUGAAUUUAUUUCAUUGUUUUCAGAGAACCUUGACAACUGCAUAGAUUAUUUUUAAAGACAAUAAGCAUCUUUAAUGAUGCAGGUUUAUUAUUUGUGCAAAUGCAUUAAUAACAAUUCUAUUAAGCUGAUGCUUCAAUAUUUGAAGUUAUUGGUCAAGCUACAAAGGGCUCACGGAGGAUACCUAGGCACACAGAGGCGAUGAAGGACGUGGUUACCUGCGAUAAGUCUCGGGGAGUUGGAAGCCACACUUUGAUCCGGGA